GUCUCCUUAGUUAAAUGGAUAUAACGGGGUCCUCCUAAGACUCUAUUGUAGGUUCGAUUCCUAUAGGAGACGCUA
RNAcentral lists this transfer RNA (75 nucleotides) under Roseburia sp. OF03-24. Its description in RNAcentral is "tRNA-Arg". It matches the Rfam family "tRNA". Rfam says of the family: Transfer RNA (tRNA) molecules are approximately 80 nucleotides in length. The record is from RNAcentral. Lineage: Bacteria; Bacillati; Bacillota; Clostridia; Lachnospirales; Lachnospiraceae.